Molecule: long non-coding RNA, 874 nt
Organism: Drosophila sechellia
Lineage: Eukaryota; Metazoa; Arthropoda; Insecta; Diptera; Drosophilidae
Exons: 2
Source: RefSeq, a predicted model, not a curated record
UCCUGAAGAAAUCCACACAAUGAACAUGUUCCCAAGCUGUGCGCAGCUAUUAAGUUGAUUUUAGUGCCAGCAUGAUGGGGGCCACAUUCCCCAAUAGAUUUGUAUGCUCCACACACAAUUCCAGCAAUCCAAUCAACAGACAACACACAUUUAAUAGAAUUGUGUGCAAUAAAAAAUAAGUUAAUUAAUUGAGCGAAAAAGCAAUUUUCGAAAGGAAUAAAACGGAAUGGAACAGCGCGUGCUGUGAAAACUGUUGUCGAAGUUUUAUAACCCAAGUCGUCGCGUCGAGCGGCUUCUUGGACAGCUUGUGUCCAACCCACAUUGUUUACUGCCAUAUCGUUAACUUUAUUUUUACCCGUGUUCCUUUCCCUUGCCUCAUAUUACCGAUUCGAUGGCGACAGCAUUUCUGGUUAUCAAAAAUGCCAAAGCUCCGAUUCACUUCCAAAAAUGGGCGUGAGAAAUCAGCGGGGGGCCACCAUAUAAUUCCGACUUUUCGUCGAUUCAAGCGCGUCAUCGUAAGCGUCAUUAUGCCAUAAAUACAAAAACAACAAGCUGAAAUGUAAAUCGAGACGUGCAAAUAUUUAUAAGAGGAUCAAAUCGACAAGGAACGCGUGGCUCCCAGUGAAACAAACUCAACUGCCUGCAAGUGGGAGGAAUGUUGAAGGGAAAUCAAAGAUUAGAGGCGGUGACAGCCGCAUUAAACGAGAUGGAUUCGGUUUCAAUAAUGAAGACAACCAUAGAAAUCAAGAUCAGAGGAAGCUAGGAAAGCCAUUUUCUAUAAUUUGGCAAUACUAAGAUCUUGCAUAUAUUGGAUGGGAAAAACAUGUGUGGCAGUAUGUAUACACCAAGUGCGAAAUAAAACUAUGUUUGUUGA